AACGAACGCUGGCGGCGCGCUUAAUACAUGCAAGUCGAACGAGAAGGUGUAGCAAUACACUUGUAAAGUGGCGAACGGGUGAGGAAUACAUGGGUAACCUACCCUCGAGUGGGGAACAACCAGCCGAAAGGUUGGCUAAUACCGCGUACGCUUCCGGGUCUUCGGAUUCGGAAGGAAAGUCAUACCGUGGGUAUGACGCUCAAGGAUGGGCUCAUGUCCUAUCAGCUUGUUGGUAGGGAACGGCCUACCAAGGCUCCGACGGGUAGCUGGUCUGAGAGGACGAUCAGCCACACUGGCACUGCGACACGGGCCAGACUCCUACGGGAGCAGCAGUAAGGAAUAUUGCGCAAUGGGCGAAAGCCUGACGCAGCGACGCCGC
Molecule: ribosomal RNA, 379 nt
Filed under: uncultured bacterium
Lineage: Bacteria
Description: bacterial SSU rRNA
Rfam family: Bacterial small subunit ribosomal RNA
Source: RNAcentral